This is a long non-coding RNA of Astatotilapia calliptera (eastern happy), 1727 nucleotides long. Lineage: Eukaryota; Metazoa; Chordata; Actinopteri; Cichliformes; Cichlidae. The record is from Ensembl.
UGUAUUUAAAAGAUGGCCGUCACCAGUUAGUACAAGUAACCUCACAGCGGUAAUAUGAUUGGUCAGAUCAUUGAAUUAAACAGGCUCCAACAGCAUAUACAUGGUGCAGAGGUCUAGUUCAGGUGAAGCUAGCCGACAGCUAGCAGCUCCAGCCACCUGUGUCACCAUCCACCUGUCAGUCAAAUAGGCCACACCCCUAAUAAUGGUGAAAAAGUUUUUUUAUGAGGCUGUAAACAUGUCUACUUCUGCUCUAAUAUUAAAACGGUAAACAUAGAAGUCUAUGGAGCCUCUGGUGGACAUUACAGGAACUGCAGCUUUUUGACACUUAGAUUUGUUGGACUGCAGGUAUAAAAACUUUUAGGAAGGAGAACAGGCUCCAGUCCACCGGGCACAGACUGCUACACACAGCGCUGCAGUGGAAGCACAUUUUCUCAUGUGUGCUGAUGCUGUCAGUAUAUGAAGCUGAUAGCACUCGUGUACCUGUGCACAGCAGCUGCAGCUGUCUGCCGUCAGUGUGUUACAGCGAGUCGAACAUGACGGAGCCUGAAGGACGGAGGAGGAUCUGAUCUGUGUUCAGUCAUGUCGGCCGCAGCCUGCAGUGCAGAGAUCCACACAGGAAUGUCGAAAACACAGCGAGCGGCUUCAUUACACCCACAGGAUCACAGAAACCAUGGCAACGUGUGUGUGUGUGUGUGUGGGGGGGGGGCACGGACAGGUGGUCUGACGCAGCAGAGCAGCAGCACCCCCGCAGCUCUCAGAUGGUUCGUCCCACACAGGAGCAGAGCAGAGGGAACGGCCCACCUCUGCAGCAGGGAGGGGGGAGGACAGGAAGCUGUGAGGAGGUUACGCACUUUUACCUGAAUGUGUCAGACACGGAAUUACACUGAAAUAAGUGUUUCGGGUGGUUUUCUUUUACUUUUUAAAAAAACACUUUAAACUGUGAAGUGACGGCGGCCGGGGGGCUGCUGCAGGGCGACAGAUGCUGGAGGAGAGAUAAGACGAGAUCACAGGCGGAAAUAUUUAACCUCCUGUUUAUCCAGCAGUGCAGGAAGCCGUCAGAUUAUUCAAGUAGUAAUACCGCAAAGUACAAGUACUCCUUCUGUGCAAACCCUGCCCAGAGAUGAAUUUUCUUAAUUAUAGAUUGUUAAUAUUCUCAUUUGAAUAAUUCUUAGCUGAUUAUUUGAUUUGUAAAAAAUGAAAAAUGAGAAAAAUUCUCGUCAAGGUCAAAAAUCCAAAAUUAUUUCCAAGAAAAGAGAAAAAUAUUUGAAUUAAAAUGUUAUGAAAUAUUUAUUCAUGUUGUAGUUAAAGCUGUAGUAGGAUGGUUAGGAGGUCACAUUAAAUGUAGUGUCGUCUGCUGCCUUCUGUCAGAAGCUCUAAAUCAGUAAAGAAGUAAAGCUUCUGCAAGCAGCUCAAACUGUUUUCCUCCAAAACUUCAAACUUUGUUUUGCUGCCUGAUGAUGCAUCACAGCUGGAGCCGUCUGCAUGCACAGUGGUUCCCAACAUAUGGGUCGGAGCCCUCAGUAGGGUCACCUGACGAAUGUGGAGGUUGUUUUAUGAGAGGAAAGAAGACAAAAAGCUGCCGUGGUCUUUUUUCUGAGAUUUUUAUUUUGCAUUUAAAGAGUGUUUGAAAAUAAGAAGCUGUUAUGGAGCUCCAGAAUAUUCUUGAACACCCAUCCAUUCAUUUUAUUUUUAUUUUCAUCUUCUUUAGGAAUAAAAAUCAGUCUUCA